AUGGGCCAGCGGACGGUCGCGUCGCGGUGUCUCGACACACGCGCCGAGGAACGUCCGGGCUGCACAGAGGAGAACGGUGGGUAACGCCCACCCGGGGUAACCCGCGAGAAAGUGCAACAGAGAGCAGACCGCCUCGCUCGGCAACGGGCGCGGUAAGGGUGAAAGGGUGGUGUAAGAGACCACCAGCGUUCGUGGCGACACGGGCGGCUAGGUAAACCUCGUUCGCAGCAAGGCCAGACAGAAGACGUUGACGCUCCUCGCCGAGUCUUCGGGUAGGCCGCUAGAACCCGUCAGUAAUGGUGGGUCGAGAGAGAUGACCGUACUAAGACAGGACCCGGCGUAUAGCUGGCCCAUUCCC
This 358-nucleotide RNase P RNA is filed under the name Microbacteriaceae bacterium. RNAcentral describes it as "RNase P RNA component class A". It matches the Rfam family "Bacterial RNase P class A". Rfam says of the family: Ribonuclease P (RNase P) is a ubiquitous endoribonuclease, found in archaea, bacteria and eukarya as well as chloroplasts and mitochondria. Its best characterised activity is the generation of mature 5'-ends of tRNAs by cleaving the 5'-leader elements of precursor-tRNAs. Lineage: Bacteria; Bacillati; Actinomycetota; Actinomycetes; Micrococcales; Microbacteriaceae. The record is from RNAcentral.